RNAcentral lists this unclassified non-coding RNA (1033 nucleotides) under Bombus terrestris (buff-tailed bumblebee). Its description in RNAcentral is "misc RNA ENSBTSG00005035182.1". The record is from RNAcentral. Lineage: Eukaryota; Metazoa; Arthropoda; Insecta; Hymenoptera; Apidae.
UUCAGGUAGCAAAAUUUAUAAGAAUAAAAUUAUUUUAUUCGUACCAAUUAUUUAUUACAUUAAAUACAAAUAAAAUUUAGUAGAGAAUAUACACAAUUAGAUGCAAUUCUACAGAAUAUACCUUUGUUGAAAAAAAUUUCAACUGAAUAAACUAAAAUAUACUUUUCUUUUCAAAUAUUUAAUGAAUUUCAUUUUAACGCUAACAUUCUAAUCAAAUUUCAUUUAACAUGAAUGUUACAUUUUACAUUUAAGCUAUCAAUUAUAGCCAUAUCUACUUAUCAAUAUUGAAAGAUUAUGUAUCAUUUUCAUAAUCUUUUGGAUUUUUACGUUGUAGUUUAUAAUAUUCAGCAUUUGCCCAUUCCAUUAGUAGGUAAGUACAAAGAAAGGCUGAAGAGGUGUAAUAAAAAAAAAUUCCGCUCUACAACGUUUUAUAAAUCGUUUAGAAGCCUCACGUAUUCCAGCAAAAGGACUUUGUUCAUAUGGACUAAGACGGAAAAAUGUAACGCCAGUUACUCUUUCAAGUUCUCCAAACCUCUUUCCUCCCAUUUUGACUGAAUUCACAAAACAAUUAUUUUAAUACUUCAAAACAUAAAUGAGAGUAAUAAACGAAUAUAACCAAGAAACAAAAUAAAUAACAUCAAAAAAUAUUUCGAGUUUCAUAAACAUAAUUUUUAGAAAUAAACUUUACUUACUUUAAUUACUUAUUAAAUACUAAUAAUCACUUAUUAAGUGUAAAAAAUGAAGUUAAUUAUUUCAAAACUAUAUAACUUACGUAAUAAUGAUAUACCUAUCGAUUUGGAACGUUCCAAUACGUACAGAUAUCUGAUUCUGAUACCUCUAAAGUAUAUUCGCUAGAUGGCAUGUUUGUUAUCUGCGUGUCAGGGCGCAAAAUUUGAAUUAUGUGAUUUAACAUAGAUUUGUAUUAAUAUUAACACAUUCAAAUACUACGAAUAUUUAUGUUAAAAUUACAUACUAUGUAUUGGUAGUGGAAAUUUAUAAAUGAUUUUCCCAUGAACAACUUAUGCAUAUAUAU